Molecule: long non-coding RNA, 3166 nt
Organism: Bubalus bubalis (water buffalo)
Lineage: Eukaryota; Metazoa; Chordata; Mammalia; Artiodactyla; Bovidae
Exons: 2
Source: RefSeq, a predicted model, not a curated record
AAAAUCUACUCGGUCUCAGCAAGGGUCUAAAAUGUAGAAUUAUGCCUGUUAAUUCUGCCUCCGUCAAGGAGCACCCAUUUAGAACAAACAAAACAAAACCCAAAGUGUCCCUUCUCAGUGCCAGCCCAGAGCACUUGGUUUCCCAGCAAAAGACACCGGGUACAGCCCCAGUCGGAAACUCCCAGCCUCAGUAAGUGGGUGAAAACGGGGUUUUCCGGAGACCUGUCCCUUUGGGGUUUAAAAGCGUGUCCCGUGGGAGCUUCGCUUUCACUUCUCUAAGGAUUUGGAGCUGUAAGAGCCCACAUCCUCGCAGAUCCCGGGGCGCCGGUUCGAUCUCCAAGUUAAUCACUGGGGCGCCUUCACAGCACCCCCCGCCUCCCUUCUCCUGGUCACCUGCGUCCUCCCCGAGCGCUUCCUGUGCGCCUGGACCAAGACCAGAGGAGCGCGCGGAUUUCCAAAGCACCGCAGGAGGAAUGAGUUGGUCUUCUGAUUCCGGGCGAUUUGAGGCAAAAGACUUCCCAAAUGACCUCUAGCCGCCUUGGCAAAAUUAGGCGACUAGGAUCUAAAAGCAUCGGUUGCUAAUGAGUCCACAGAAGCCGCAAAUGUGUGGGGCGAGAGCUGGGCUAUUGCAAGCGGGAACCAGGGAGGAGGCGUAGCAGCUCUUGCCGCGGAUGUGGUGGUGGACGAUGCCAAGUCCUCUUGUUUAAAAAAAAAAAAAAGGAAGUAAAGAAUGAUGAAUGAUUAAGAGGGCCACGGGCCACUCCCUCGGCCUCUCUAACCUCUCUUGGUCUCUUUCCUCUCUGUCUUUUGUACAUGCACCUGCUCAGGUGAGAUCUCAAAGGAAAAUAAAGCAGUGGGUCAGUCUCCUCUGGUAAGAGCUAUCUUUGGACCUAGAAAUUAAAGCCCAAAUUAGGUGGAGAAAGUGGAGACCGAUAAUAGCUCCUAACAAUGUCUCCCUUGUGCGUUUGUCUGAAUUGGCUAAUAAAUCAAAUUAUCCAUUGUGACUGUGUGUUUACAGAAGCUUAUUAGAUAAAGAUAAGUUUAUAAGAUAAACAAAAGUUUAUCUUUUUUUUUCUUCUAAACCUGAAUUAUUUAGAUAUUUUCUGUCUUGGUUCGGUUUCUGAUAUUCUGCAGAAACCCUGCUUAAAUGAAGGUGGGUGAUGUAAAGAAAUAACAGUGAUAAUAAUAUUAUGGCUAUCAUUUACCUAGCAUUUGUUCUGUACUAGUAUUGUGCUAAUCCUUUUAUAUAUGUCAUCUCAGGCAAAAUUGCCUCUGUGGUAGAUAAUUUUGUGGGAACUAAGACUUCCUUAAGUAUAUGCCCGAAUUCACUCCCCUGGUUAGUAACAAAUGUGGAACACAAACCUACUGUAAAUCAGCUCUAGAGUCCACACUUGGGAUCCUUGGGUUAGAAGUCCUGUGAACAAUGUAGAAAUUGAUGCCAGGACAGAAACAGAGUCACAUGUAGUGUGGGUAUGGCUUUGCUCCAGUGUGGGGACCUCAGGACAAGUUCCUGGAAUUUGUGAGUUCUCAAUUGAGACCCAAGCAGGUCAAUUAACUUGAUGAUGUGAGCAUUUCAGAUUCUUUGAUAGUGUGAACAAAGAAAAAAGGAAAAGAAAGCAGAGAGAAAAAAAAAAUGAAAUAGAGGGUGAAGCAGUGUUGCUUAAGGCUGAAACUUGGAUUUCUAUUCCUCUUUUAGCCUCACUUCUCACAUCCAGUCCAUAGGCAAGUCCUGUCAGCAAUACCUCUAAAAUAAAUUGCAAAUCUAUUCUGUGAAUUGCCUAAGGUUAACCAUUAAAACCCUGCUGUCUAGGGACCUUCCAGUUUCUAUUCUUGCCCACAACCUCUUCAUUCUCUUCAUAGCAGCAGGAUAUUGAUUUACAUUUGCCAUUUUCUGUGACCACCCCCUGACCACUUCCCGCUGUACAUGGGGCUUUCAUGGCCCUGAGUGAUCUGGGCUCCUGCUGCCCUCCCUGGCUCUCUGGUACCCAUGACUUUUUUCCUCCCUGUGUCCAGCCAAGCUGACUUCCACUUAGAUGAGCAUCUAGGACUUCCCUGGUGGUCCAUUGGUUAAGACUCCUCCCUUCCAAUACAGGGGUUGUGGGUUCGAUCCCUGGUCUGGGAACUGGGAUUCCAAUAUGUCAUGUGAAAAGAAAAAGAAAGUAUCUAGUACACAGCAAUGCAGAAAGUGAAAGAAUGAGAGAGGACAAUUGAGUGAGAUGCAUGAAUGAGAACAUGUGUGGAAGAGACAGUUUGUGAAGACAGGAGGAAAAUAGGAGGAAAGGGGAAGACAACAAGGGAAACGAACAAGAACAGGAGGCAGAAUGUGGCGGGGGUUGGGGGGGUGUCACGUAUUUCCAUCUGACUGGAACUUAGGGUGGAGAUGGGGAGUGGAGAAACAGGAGGCUGGAGUGAAAAGUAAAAAUGAAUUUUGUAAUUAAACACGACUAUGUUGGUUAUUGAUUUAUUUAAAAUCCCUGACAGCAGAAUUGAGGCAUGUAACUGCAUAUAGCCUGCAGUUUUUAUUUUUUUAACUUUUCCGGGACAGAUAAAAGAGCAUCCAUCAAUAACUUGCUCAGCAGGAAAUCCGUCUUCCUUUUUCAUGCAAUCCCUGUAAAACUUGGUUGAACAAGAGCUUGUGCAUAAGUGAACUCUUGGGAAGCAUGAGGGAAAAUUAUUCAGAGCUCUGAGAGGAGAUGUAAAUUCCUCACCAGACUCUGACCCUAAAUGUGAAGAAUCUCUCUGAAAAAAAUAUUCGUAAAUCAUUGGGCAUUUUUAUUAUUAUAUGCAAAUGGGCACUUUCUAACUUCAAGUUAUUCUUUUUCUGUCUAUGGCAGAAUUAGUACCAUUUGGGACAAAAUUCCAAAAUGUAUUCUUAAAUUUGUAGUUGAUAUUUUGAUAAAAUGAACAUUAUUUUUUAUUAGACAGAUAGAUAAGGAUAAAAGAAAUGUCAUGAAUUUUUAUAUGCCAAUGUUUGUGAUUAGAAAAGCUGGGUGGUUACCAUCAAGUCCACUUAUAGACCCAACAGUGCAGAAAAGCCAAUAUGGAAACAAAAUAGUAUAUAAAGUUUAUGAGUUAUAACCAAUAAAUAUUAAGAAAGAAGACAACAUUCUCAGAAUGAUUAAUACAAUGUACUUGAAAAAAUGGAAAUAAAACCAUAUGAAUGUCA